This 361-nucleotide long non-coding RNA is filed under the name Trifolium pratense (red clover). Its description in RNAcentral is "long non-coding RNA (TPRA_LNC012781)". The record is from RNAcentral. Lineage: Eukaryota; Viridiplantae; Streptophyta; Magnoliopsida; Fabales; Fabaceae.
UGAAUAAGAAUACUAGUACUCCUGCACUAUACAGUAUUUGCCUCCAAUUAUUUAUUUUUCGUGUCUUCAAUUUAAAAUUAUGCAUGGGCCAUUGACAGACUGACAUUUUCCUGAUAUCCAAUGUUUAUAUGGCAGGUUAUGACAAGUGCAACUUCAUGUCGACUUAGCAGCUCAUUGCUUGCUUUCUAAUAGUAGCAUUUAAUUUGGAGACAUUAUUUAUUAUGUAAUCAUACAUACCCUUGCUUAAUUAGAGACAUUAUUUGGAAUUACCUUGAUCAUCAUUGUUUCUUUUUCUAUUAUUGGAAUCAUCCUUUGUUGCUUUUUCUAUUAUUGGAAAUAAAGUCACUAACCAUGAUCAUCA